This 254-nucleotide ribosomal RNA is filed under the name uncultured bacterium. Its description in RNAcentral is "partial 16S ribosomal RNA". It matches the Rfam family "Bacterial small subunit ribosomal RNA", at positions 79 to 334 of the family's 1533-position model. The record is from RNAcentral.
CUUUCUUUGCUGGCGACCGGCGCACGGGUGAGUAACACGUAUCCAACCUGCCCUUUACUCGGGGAUAGCCUUUCGAAAGAAAGAUUAAUACCCGAUAGCAUAAUGAUUCCGCAUGGUUUCAUUAUUAAAGGAUUCCGGUAAAGGAUGGGGAUGCGUUCCAUUAGGUUGUUGGUGAGGUAACGGCCCACCAAGCCUUCGAUGGAUAGGGGUUCUGAGAGGAAGGUCCCCCGCAUUGGAACUGAGACACGGUCCAA